Molecule: signal recognition particle RNA, 332 nt
Filed under: Callithrix jacchus (white-tufted-ear marmoset)
Lineage: Eukaryota; Metazoa; Chordata; Mammalia; Primates; Cebidae
Description: Metazoan signal recognition particle RNA (ENSCJAG00000071344.1)
Rfam family: Metazoan signal recognition particle RNA
About the family: The signal recognition particle (SRP) is a universally conserved ribonucleoprotein. It is involved in the co-translational targeting of proteins to membranes. The eukaryotic SRP consists of a 300-nucleotide 7S RNA and six proteins: SRPs 72, 68, 54, 19, 14, and 9.
Source: RNAcentral
GCUGGGCACGGUGGCGCGUGUCUGUAAUCCCAGCUACUCAGGAAGCUGAGGCAGGAGAAUCGCCUGAACCCAGGAGGCGGAGGUUGCGGUGAGCCGAGAUCGCGCCAUUGCACUCCAGCCUGGGCAAAAAGAGCGAAACUCCAUCUCAAAAAAAAAAAAAAAAAAAACUACCUCUUUCAUAAAACGUUUUCCUUCUUGACACUUUGUACCAAAUUUCUUUUUUUUUUUUUUUGAGACGGAGUUUCGCUCUUGUUACCCAGGCUGGAGUGCAAUGGCGCGAUCUCGGCUCACCGCAACCUCCGCCUCCUGGGUUCAGGCGAUUCUCCUGCCUC